UGGUUUCUAACUUUGUCCAUCCUCAAUCAUUUAGUCUUUCCGUAAAAAAUAAUUAUUAAAUAAGGACCAAAAUGACAAAAAUAUUCUCAAUUUAAUAAACAAUUGGCCAAAAUGAUUUGACAAAAGUUAAGAGUAUUUUAGUCAUUUUAUCCUUAUUUAAUAUAUUUUUCACGAAAUAAUCAAAAUGAUUGAUGGUGAACAAACUCAAUGACCACUUCUAUUGAUUUCAAAUCUCAAUGAUCAAAGUAAGGAGUUAUGACAAUCUUAGGCACCAUCUUAGCUAAAAAGUCUAUAUAUAUAUAUUUAUCGUGAAGACUUUUCUCAUAUUGCAUAUGUAGUUUUCAUUAUAAUGACAAGGGGUUGGUUAUUUACCAAUGAGGAAAAAUUUUAAAAUAUUAUAGAACUAAAAUUUUAAGUGAUUUGCCAUAUCAACCUUCUAAAAUCAUUAAUUUGUUAUCUUAUCCUAACUUCGUUAAGUUUUUCACUCAAAAUAAGUCAUGACUUAUGUUCAGGGCUAUUUUAGGUGAUUUGUACUAGAAAUUUUAAUCAGGUGAAAGUGAAUACCAUGCUUGGUUCACGUGUUCUAAUAAGAGUUUUACCACCUGCAAAAGUAAGAUUUAAAGCAAGAGAACAUGAUAAUUGUAGUAUAAACGGCUCAUGACACACCCUGAUCCGGAAUGUCCACUAGGACUCCGAAUCGAGUUGUGCUGGUCAACACCUGAAAGGUGACGAAGCCAUAAAGUAUAGUGAUGUGGAAAUGUGAAUAAAUUUAAACCUAAUAAUUUCUAAAGACAAGAGUGCGCUGUGAGCGAGAAUGAACUCAUUUCACACUCGAAGUCAGAGCAUAAAUAUAGUACAGUAGUGGGUAAGGAUCAUGCCCUCAGAGGUAGCCACCUAUACUGAGAUUCACCAAGAAUCCUCGUCGAUACGAACUUUUAGCAUCUAAAACCUGGAGGAGCGAAAAACAAGAGUGAGUGGGCAAAAACAAAACGUUUGAAAACUAUUUAUCUUUAUGAACAUAAUAACCCCUUUCCGUAAAACCCGUAUAGUUUCUAGAAAAUAAUAAUACAUACGUAUAUAGAAAUCAUGCUCGAAAGUAGUGAAAACCAAGUAUAUGCUAUGUCAAGUAUCUCAACAAUGAAAUAAGUAAGCCAGGUGAAAUAAAUCAAUAUAAAAUUAUAUGUCAGCCGAAGUCACCUAAUGUGACAUGUACAACUGAGCCUAUAGCUCAUCUACCAAUUCCUGCACACAAGUCGGAACCACCUAAUGUGGUAUGUACGAUAGGCUAUGUGUAAAUAGAUACGCUUAAGUGCUACAAUCACGUAAAGACUCUGCAAAGUAUCGCAACUCACCUACAAGUCGGAAGCACCUAAUGUGGUAUGUACGACAAGCUGGCACCUACCUUGGAUCCAAGGUGAGCAUGUGGUGCGGGAGGUGAACGAUCACGUGAAGGCUAAGCCCUAGCCUCGGGGGGAGCACUAACACCGGGGUGCAGGAUAAUGAGUACUAAAUGCAUCUAAACAAAACCAUACCCAUUGCAAUCACUAUCAUCAAUAUAUACUCACCUGAAACUUACCUGGGCAUCCGCUGCGUCAUGCAAUAAUAUGUGUAUCUAUACUAACGCAUAUGCUAAAAUGUAAUGCAAUUGACAUGGUAUUUGAAAAAAAAACCGUAAAUCCAUUUAAAACAAUUUCUGGAAAAUGUAAAGCAUAUAUACAUGUGUGUGUGUAUAUAUAUAUAUAUAUACCCAUUGCAAUCACUAUCAUCAAUAUAUACUCACCUGAAACUUACUUGGGCAUCCGCUGUGUCAUGCAAUAAGAUGUGUAUCUAUACUAACGCAUAUGCUAAAAUGUAAUGCAAUUUCUGGAACAUGUAAAGCAUAUAUAUAUAUAUAUAGAAAACCAAAAAAACCCACUCAUAGAACAUGACGUUGGGUCGAACCCGCCUCGCGGCUUCGAAAAUCCUUGCAAUGUGUUUCACCUAGAAACAAAACCAUUAUGUACUUAUGUAUAACGUGCUAAAGUAUAAACGAGUUUUCUAGAUUUUAUUGCGUGUUUUUCCCUUAACUUUAGGAGCUCAUUUCAAGCUCAAUUUUCAACCAAAUUCAACGAUUCAAAAGCCAACUAGAAGUUAGAAAUGUGGGAAACAUGUUCGUACUAGUUUGAAAUCAAAUAAUGGCCGGAGUUGACCGGGAAAAUGGUCUGAAAGUGGCCAAAUGGCCACGGGUCCAAGUUUUCCAGAAUCUAGGAAAUUUCGUCCCAAAUUUCAGAGCUAAUUUCUAGCUCAAUUCUCAAUCAAAUUUGAUGAUUGAGCCAUAUUAAAGCUAGAAAUGUAGAGAACAAGUCCAUACCAAAUUGAAGCCGAGUUUAUGUCGGAGUUGGCCAAAAAAAUGGCCUAAAGAUGGCCAACUGGUCAUGACCAAAAUUUCCAUAAUCUAAAAAGAUUUCAACCCAACUUUGAAGGCUAAUUUCUAGUUCACUACUUAACCAAACUCGAUGAUUCAAAAACUAACUUGAAGCUAGAAAUGUAGUGAAUACCAGUUUCGAGGGCCAACCAUCACCGAGAUGGCCGGAAAAUCCUCUCAAAGGGCUAAAUAGUCACGGUCCAAGCUUCCAAAAUUUCUAGGGAAGUCCUCCCUUCGUCCCCGCAUCUUCUAAACCCUAUCCAAAACACGUCUAAGCCCUGAGAUCGUUCACUAGAAAUGAAAAAGAAUAAGGGAGAGAGAGAUCCUAAUGCCUACCUUGGUCGGGUUUCAUUGAAGUCGCCGGAAUCUCAACUUUUAAAACUGAAUUCCUUUUGAGCUCCAAGGCACAGUUCUCAUAACCCAAACUUGGGGUUAAGUUCAUAAAGGUGAGAUGAUUGUAGCAUGGUGCUGUAAUGGUCUGGGUCUCGUAUGUACGGAAGUUGUCAUGUGUGGUGGUGUCUCGGUGGUGACUAACCCAGAGAGAGAUAGUGAGUUUGAAAUGAGAGGUGAGGGCAGUGAGAGUUAAAAGAGAGGGAAAGAUCCAGGGGAUAGGGAACUCGGGAAAAUGGGGGAGAAUGGGUUGAUGCGGUAGUUCCUGGCCUGUAUUUUUGGCCUCUCUGUUUACAGAGAAGAAGAUAAGGAGGCAGAGAGAGAUGAGAGGGUUCUCGAAUGAGAGACCAC
Molecule: long non-coding RNA, 3145 nt
Filed under: Malus domestica (apple)
Lineage: Eukaryota; Viridiplantae; Streptophyta; Magnoliopsida; Rosales; Rosaceae
Description: long non-coding RNA (MDOM_LNC009485)
Source: RNAcentral